CAACACUGAGCUUUUAGACGAGGGAAUAAAGUUAGCCAGCAUCAAGGACGAACGAUAGAGAGUCCUUUGCGACGUUAAAAAGUGUGCUAACACAGAGUUGUCUGAAUGUUGAGUGUUGAAUAUCUGAUUAGUGGCGGACGGGUGAGUAACGCGUGGGGAACCUGCCCUAUACAGGGGGAUAGCCUCGGGAAACCGGGAUUAAUACCCCAUAAAACUCUAGUAUCGCAUGAUACGUGAGUCAAAGCUGAGGCGGUAUAGGAUGGCCCCGCGUCUGAUUAGCUAGUUGGUGAGGUAACGGCUCACCAAGGCGACGAUCAGUAGCCGGCCUGAGAGGGUGGACGGCCACACUGGAACUGAGACACGGUCCAGACUCCUACGGGAGGCAGCAGUGGGGAAUAUUGCACAAUGGGGGAAACCCUGAUGCAGCGACGCCGCGUGAGCGAAGAAGGCCUUCGGGUCGUAAAGCUCUGUCCUAAGGGAAGAAAAGGACGGUACCUUAGGAGGAAGCCCCGGCUAACUACGUG
This 524-nucleotide ribosomal RNA is filed under the name uncultured bacterium. RNAcentral describes it as "bacterial SSU rRNA". It matches the Rfam family "Bacterial small subunit ribosomal RNA", at positions 1 to 507 of the family's 1533-position model. The record is from RNAcentral.